ACAAGUACCGUGAGGGAAAGUUGCAAAGCACUUUGAAGAGAGAGUUAAAGAGGACGUGAAACCGGUAGGAUGGAAACGGAUAGAGCCAGCGAAGUUGCUCGUAUUCAGCCAAAGGCCUGGGGUAUCGGUGUGCCGGGUUGCUAAUCACGCCUGGUGUGCCUUUUGCCCCUGGUUGAGGUGCAUUUGCGGGCAUUUGCGCUGAGACUUGCGGACCAGCUUCUGGACCCGGGCCUAGAGGCCGUCCUUUGGGCGGAACUUGGGCACGGCGACGGUUGUUUGGUCUGCUCGUACCACGGCUUGGCCUACGGACAGGGGCGCUGUCGUUGCUUCCGGGCGUUGGCAUCGCAUGCGAUGACUCGGUCGGGGGUUGCGGCGGUGUUUCUCGUUCCCAAGUCGGCUCUCGGUGUAAAAGCUGGUCACCUAUCCGACCCGUCUUGAAACACGGACCAAGGAGUUUAGCGUAUACGCGAGCCAUUGGGUGUGAAAACCUACAGGCACAAUGAAAGUAAAGGCCCAUUCGGUGGGCUGACAUGCGAGUUGGUGGGCCUCGGCCUGCCGAUGCAGCAUGGUCCCGUUCCUAUCGCUUGCGAUGGAGCGGAGACAGAGCGUAUGCGCUGAGACCCGAAAGAUGGUGAACUAUUCCUGAGCAGGAUGAAGCCAGAGGAAACUCUGGUGGAAGUCCGAAGCGGUUCUGACGUGCAAAUCGAUCGUCUGACUUGGGUAUAGGGGCGAAAGACUAAUCGAACCAUCUAGUAGCUGGUUCCUUCCGA
This 770-nucleotide ribosomal RNA is filed under the name Paratylenchus nanus. RNAcentral's name for it is "LSU rRNA". It matches the Rfam family "Eukaryotic large subunit ribosomal RNA", at positions 344 to 964 of the family's 3401-position model. The record is from RNAcentral. Lineage: Eukaryota; Metazoa; Nematoda; Chromadorea; Rhabditida; Tylenchulidae.